This 253-nucleotide ribosomal RNA is filed under the name uncultured bacterium. RNAcentral describes it as "partial 16S ribosomal RNA". It matches the Rfam family "Bacterial small subunit ribosomal RNA", at positions 524 to 776 of the family's 1533-position model. The record is from RNAcentral.
UACGGGGGGAGCAAGCGUUGUUCGGAUUUACUGGGCGUAAAGGGCGCGUAGGCGGCCUGCUAAGUCGAACGUGAAAUCCCUGGGCUCAACCCAGGAACUGCGUCCGAUACUGGUUGGCUUGAAUCCGGGAGAGGGAUGUGGAAUUCCAGGUGUAGCGGUGAAAUGCGUAGAUAUCUGGAGGAACACCGGUGGCGCAGGCGACAUCCUGGACCGGUAUUGACGCUGAGGCGCGAAAGCCAGGGGAGCAAACGGG